This 327-nucleotide ribosomal RNA is filed under the name uncultured eukaryote. RNAcentral describes it as "partial 18S ribosomal RNA". It matches the Rfam family "Eukaryotic small subunit ribosomal RNA", at positions 1470 to 1796 of the family's 1831-position model. The record is from RNAcentral.
CCCUUAGAUGUUCUGGGCCGCACACGCGCUACACUGAAGGAGGCAGCGUGUACUCCUGGAUCGAAAGAUUUGGGUAACCCGCGAAUCUCUUUCGUGCUAGGGAUUGAGGUUUGCAAUUAUCCUUCAUGAACGAGGAAUUCCCAGUAAGUGCAAGUCAUAAGCUUGCGCUGACUACGUCCCUGCCCUUUGUACACACCGCCCGUCGCUACUACCGAUUGAAUGAUUUAGUGAGGACUUCGGACUGGGACCGAUGCGGCUUUCGGGCUGCGUCGGUAUUCUGGAAAGAUGUCCAAACUGUAUCAUUUAGAGGAAGUAAAAGUCGUAACA